CCUACGGGCGGCAGCAGUGAGGAAUAUUGGUCAAUGGGAGAGAUCCUGAACCAGCCAAGCCGCGUGAGGGAAGACGGCCCUAUGGGUUGUAAACCUCUUUUGUCUGGGAACAAAACCCGGGACGUGUCCCGUACUGCGUGUAUCCGAAGAAAAAGCAUCGGCUAACUCCGUGCCAGCAGCCGCGGUAAUACGGAGGAUGCGAGCGUUAUCCGGAUUUAUUGGGUUUAAAGGGUGCGUAGGCGGUCCGUUAAGUCAGCGGUAAAAUUGCGGGGCUCAACCCCGUCGAGCCGUUGAAACUGGCAGACUUGAGUUGGCGAGAGGUACGCGGAAUGCGCGGUGUAGCGGGGAAAUGCAUAGAUAUCGCGCAGAACUCCGAUUGCGAAGGCAGCGUACCGGCGCCAGACUGACGCUGAGGCACGAAAGCGUGGGGAUCGAACAGGAUUAGAUACCCUUGUAGUC
Molecule: ribosomal RNA, 459 nt
Filed under: uncultured bacterium
Lineage: Bacteria
Description: partial 16S ribosomal RNA
Rfam family: Bacterial small subunit ribosomal RNA
Source: RNAcentral